Dicentrarchus labrax (European seabass) is the source of this 1017-nucleotide long non-coding RNA. RefSeq lists it as uncharacterized. The record is from RefSeq and is a predicted model, not a curated record. NCBI's taxonomy places the organism in Eukaryota, Metazoa, Chordata, Actinopteri, Moronidae. The transcript has 4 exons.
GCAGCAGCUCCAGAUACAACACAGCAGUUUCUUUAUUUCACCCUGUGGGACAAAUUAAAAUUUGACACAGCAGCACGGGGAAAAUGUGGUGCAAAAUGUAAAAAAUUAUAAAUUACAAUAAAGAAUACCAAGUAAAAAUAUUAUCAAAAUAUAUAAAGACUAUAUAUCUAUUAUAAUAUUUACAGUAUAUGCAGUAUGCAAGUAAGAGAUGUGGUGUGCAAAAAUAUUUUAAACAGUGUUAACGAAACUGUACAUGUUAUUUGUAAUGUGCAAAUUAUUAGAGUUUGUGCAAGAGCAGAAAAAUUUAAUUAAAACCGCAUAAUCAGCAGAGGUUGGAGAUACUGGGUGCUGUGGUUGAGGAGGUUGGAGAUACUGGGUGCUGUGGUUGAGGAGGUUGGAGAUACUGGGUGCUGUGGUUGAGGAGGUUGGAGGUACUGGGUGCUGUGGUUGAGGAGGUUGGAGAUACUGGGUGCUGUGGUUGAGGAGGUUGGAGAUACUGGGUGCUGUGGUUGAGGAGGUUGGAGGUACUGGGUGCUGUGGUUGUGGAGGUUGGAGGUACUGGGUGCUGUGGUUGAGGAGGUUGGAGGUACUGGGUGCUGUGGUUGAGGAGGUUGGUGGUACUGGGUGCUGUGGUUGAGGAGGUUGAUGGUACUGGGUGCUGUGGUUGAGGAGGUUGGUGGUACUGGGUGCUGUGGUUGAGGAGGUUGGAGAUACUGGGUGCUGUGUUUGAGGAGGUUGGAGGUACUGGGUGCUGUGGUUGUGGAGGUUGGAGGUACUGGGUGCUGUGGUUGAGGAGGUUGGAGGUACUGGGUGCUGUGGUUGAGGAGGUUGGAGGUACUGGGUGCUGUGGUUGAGGAGGUUGGAGGUACUGGGUGCUGUGGUUGAGGAGGUUGGAGGUACUGGGUGCUGUGGUUGUGGAGUCUGAUGGCUGACGAGCCUCCGAACCGCUUUGAGUCUCGGGGCUGGAUCAGUCUGUGGCUUAAAGUUCCAAUCUGUAAUAUAAAAUUAUCAUAAGUA